ACCCAGUCAAAGUGAUUCAACACAGGGAAAAAUUACGCGGGCGGCCAGACACAUCGCGCGGGCCGCGGAAAACUGCGUGGGCUGGGGCAUCGGCCGCCGCCCCCCGCCGCCACCGCUCUCCGGCCGUCCCCGCCGACGCUCUCCGGCCGCCCCCGUUUCCGCUCUCCGGUCGUUGCCGCCGCACCCGCCGCCGCUCUCCUGCAGCCCCCCGCCGCCGCAGGAAACAGAGGGGAUCGAGCUCCGGCCACGACCACUGUACAAAACGGCGUCGGCAGGUUCCUCCAUCGCCACUCCGGGCUCCUCCACCCCGCCCCCUCCGACGGGCUCCAACGGCUCUCUCCGUCCAUUCCCUCGCCCCCGCACUGGCCAUCGAGCUCUAGGUCGACUCCAACAGAAUUGUUGCUGAUUGGGCUGCGUGGUUGUGCAAUUUGACAAGAUUUGAGUGUUGUGCAUUUGCAAGUGUUGUGCAAUGGGUGAAAUUGAUAAGGGAAUACCUCAAGUUGGUAUGAGGUUCAGAAAUGCAGAUGAAGCUUGGGUGUUUUGCGUAGCAUAUGGGGGCCGUGCAGGGUUUGAUGUGAGGAAGAGAAACAAACAUGUAAGCAAGUUUGAUGGUGAAGUGACUUCAUGCGGAUUUGUUUGUUCCAAUGAGGGUCUUCGGAAAAAAAAAGAUAACAUUGGGCCAUGUGCCAAAGCGUAUUAGAGCUGAAACAAGAACAGAUUGCAAAGCCCGGAUGACUAUAGCAUUGGAUCGAGUGGCAAAAAAUUAUGAAGUCACAGAUAUUGUGCUAGAACACAAUCAUUACCUUCAAUUGCCACAAACUUGUCACUUGAUGGCAUCACAAAGGAAGAUUUCCGAAGUACAAGCUUUUGAAAUAGAAGCCGCUGAUGAUUCUGGAAUCAUGCCAAAAGCUGCACAUGAGCUUGCUUGUCGUCAAGUUGGUGGACCACUUAACCUCGGCUACACUUGUGUUGACCAAAAGAAUCAUUUGCGAAGCAAGCGGCAGAGAGAGUUAGCUUUUGGACAGGCUGGUAGUAUGUUGAAGUACUUCCAUGAAAAAAUCAUUGAGAAUCCAUCUUUCUAAUAUGCUUUGCAGUUGGACUGUGAAGAGCAUAUAACCAACAUAUUUUGGGCUGGUGCAAAAAUGGUUCUUGAAUAUGUACACUUUGGCGAUGUUGUCACAUUCGAUACCACUUUUGGCACAAACAAAGAAUAUAGGCCAUUUGGUGUUUUUCUUGGACUGAAUCAGUUUAGAGAAACCACCAUUUUUGGUGCUGCAUUACUAGUUGAUGAAACAUGUCUCAUUUACAUGUCUUUUUGAGACUUUUCUAGCUGCACAUAAUGGGAGGCAACCUAGAACUAUUUAUACGGAUCAAGAUGCAGCAAUGGGGAAAGCUAUAGGAAAAGUCUUCACGGAAUCAUAUCAUGGAUUGUGCACCUUUCAUAUAAUGCAAAAUGCUGUCAAGCAUUUAUCUCCAUUGAAGGGUGAAGAAAAAGACGAAGAGAAAGAGAAAUGUGACGCCCUCGAUUCAAUCGUACACUAAUCAUACAUGCAGAUGUGUACGAUUAA
Molecule: non-coding RNA, 1568 nt
Organism: Triticum urartu
Lineage: Eukaryota; Viridiplantae; Streptophyta; Magnoliopsida; Poales; Poaceae
Source: RefSeq, a predicted model, not a curated record